RNAcentral lists this ribosomal RNA (775 nucleotides) under uncultured Neocallimastigales. RNAcentral's name for it is "partial large subunit ribosomal RNA". It matches the Rfam family "Eukaryotic large subunit ribosomal RNA", at positions 23 to 645 of the family's 3401-position model. The record is from RNAcentral. Lineage: Eukaryota; Fungi; Neocallimastigomycota; Neocallimastigomycetes; Neocallimastigales.
AGAGAGAGACAUGCGCGCAUAUCAAUAAGCGGAGGAAAAGAAACUAACAAGGAUUCCCCUAGUAACGGCGAGUGAAGCGGGAAGAGCUCAAAUUUGAAAUCUUAAAGGGUUCUACCUUGACGAAUUGUAGUUUAAAGAAGUGUUUUCUGUUGGAGGUUUUGGUAAAAGUUCUUUGGAAUAGGACAUCAUAGAGGGUGAGAAUCCCGUAUUUGACCAUUAUUUCCAGCUUUGUGAUACACUUUCAAAGAGUCGGAUUGUUUGGGAAUGCAGUCCAAAAUGGGUGGUAAAUUUCAUCUAAAGCUAAAUAUUGGCGAGAGACCGAUAGCGAACAAGUACCGUGAGGGAAAGAUGAAAAGAACUUUGAAAAGAGAGUUAAACAGUACGUGAAAUUGUCAAAAGGGAAGCGUUUGACACCAGUGUUGUUUUCUCGAAAAUCAAUUAAAAAAGGCAGGAUUUUGUGUUGUAUUGACUUUAUCAGCUUUCUGCACUCUUUUCUUGUCUUUUUUAAUGCACUUUUCGUUUAACAAGUCAACAUCAAUUUCUUUUGUUGUAAAAGGGUCAUUGGAAGGUGGCUUUCUUUUCGGAGAAAGUGUUUAUAGCCUUUGGCCUCUGCAAUCGGAGAGAUUGAGGUCUGCAGCGUAGAUCCUUCGGGGUUAGAUACAUUUGUGCUAAGUUAUAGCCUUUCAUAGACAACUUGUUGACUAUGAUCAGUCAUGUAGCUUACUCGCUUAUGCUAUUUUACCUACGCUUAGGAUGUUGAUGUGAUACUGCGAGC